RNAcentral lists this ribosomal RNA (262 nucleotides) under uncultured bacterium. RNAcentral's name for it is "partial 16S ribosomal RNA". It matches the Rfam family "Bacterial small subunit ribosomal RNA", at positions 29 to 314 of the family's 1533-position model. The record is from RNAcentral.
AGCGAACGCUGGCGGCAGGCUUAACACAUGCAAGUCGAGCGGGCACCUUCGGGUGUCAGCGGCAGACGGGUGAGUAACACGUGGGAACGUACCCUUUGGUUCGGAACAACUCUAGGGAAACUGGAGCUAAUACCGGAUACGCCCUUAGUGGGGAAAGGUUUACCGCCGAAGGAUCGGCCCGCGUCUGAUUAGCUAGUUGGUGAGGUAACGGCUCACCAAGGCGACGAUCAGUAGCUGGUCUGAGAGGAUGAUCAGCCACACU